Cinara cedri is the source of this 771-nucleotide non-coding RNA. The record is from the annotation of a GenBank genome assembly. Lineage: Eukaryota; Metazoa; Arthropoda; Insecta; Hemiptera; Aphididae.
CGUGAAAAUAUUAUUUUCCAUCGCUAUUGCGCGUUAUUUUUGUGUGUAAUGUUCAUCGCAUCGUAAACACUAUAAUGUUCCACCAACGCGAUAAUAAUAAUAAAUGUUUUGUCUUUGAUAUAAAUUUGCCGUUAUUAUCCGACUGACGAUAUCAUUAAUAAUGUGUUGUUACAGGCUUUAUUGUGGUAGUGGUGUUAUAGACUGCAAUCAGUAUGAUUGUGUUUUUUCGUUCUUUGUGUUCAGUUAUUUCAUUAAUUUUUAUUCCCCUCGUUACCACGCCAUUUCACUCUAUAAAAAUGUUGUGCUCCGGCCGCAGCUCCGCUCCGUACACUGAAGACAGAAAUUAUCGCAAGUUCUAUGGUCUUAUCUGAAGAAAUAAUUUUGAUUACAUUCUAUGUACCAUCUUAUUAUUACCCAUUAUCUAUAUUAUUAUUCUGGUUAUAACCCAGUUAUAUUUUCUACAGAUUGCAGCUAUUUCUAUUAGUGCUCGUAAUUUUCUAUACAAAUGUCAAUAUUUCAUAUCGAAACUUCUUAAUUUACUGUGUAUUUAAAAGUUCAAUUAAUAUUAUCAUACCGAUUCUGCUAUCAGUUCGGAUAGUGAUCAUACCUAUAUAUUUUGGUCAAUCCCCAACCGAAGGGUAAUCUUUUGGCACCUUAAAUGGAAAAAAUCUAUAAUUUAUAAUAUACUUGUAAUUUUAGAAAUAAAGUUAAAUUCUGGUCAGACAAUAAUCAACAGUUAAAAUAAUGUCUCCAUAAAACACUAGACUUUUU